This 206-nucleotide unclassified non-coding RNA is filed under the name Hevea brasiliensis (rubber tree). Lineage: Eukaryota; Viridiplantae; Streptophyta; Magnoliopsida; Malpighiales; Euphorbiaceae. The record is from RNAcentral.
GGCUGCGCAAGAAGCAGCAGGUGGAUGAGCUAGAGAGCAUUGUCCGGUUGAAGCAGGCCGAGGCCGAGAUGUUCCAGCUGAAGGCAAACGAGGCCCGUCAGGAGGCUGACAGGCUCCAGAGCAUCGCGCUUGCCAAAUCUGAGAGGGCCGAGCAGGACUACGCCAGCCUAUACCUGAAGCGCCGCCUGGAGGAAGCUGAAGCAGAG